Molecule: ribosomal RNA, 241 nt
Filed under: uncultured bacterium
Lineage: Bacteria
Description: partial 16S ribosomal RNA
Rfam family: Bacterial small subunit ribosomal RNA
Source: RNAcentral
AGUGGCGAACGGGUGAGGAACGCGUGGACAACCUACCCCGGCGUGGGGGAUACCCGCCAGAAAUGGCGGCUAAUACCGCGUACGGUUCUCUGGCGACGGGCUGGGGAAAGAAAGCAGUAAUGCGCGCUGGGAGGGGUCUGCGGCCGAUUAGCUAGUUGGCGGGGUAACGGCCCACCAAGGCGAUGAUCGGUAGCUGGUCUGAGAGGAUGAUCAGCCACACGGGGACUGAGACACGGCCCCG